AUGCUCGUGUGGAAAGAUGUUCGCAGUGCAUUGUUUAGAAAAAGGAAAAAACCAGUUAUCCUACAAAAUAGUCGUGUUUGUACCACGAUGUACAAGGAAGACUCAUCUCUAGGAACCUGGGUCUCUGCGUACAGAAUCCAGACAAGCGCAUCCCCUGUAAAGGGUAUCCAGGAAAUUGGAGGCACAAAUAAAGGCAACCUGUGCUGAGAAGCCCCGCGGAGCAGGAAAAGCCCCUAUUCCUCCAGGCCCCGUGGUAGAGCUUGUGUAUUCUAGAGAUAGGUUCUCUCUUCUUUUAAUCUGUUCUUAAAACACCCCCGUGAAGUCUCCUGUCCUGAGUUAAGCUUCAUCCGUGAUUCAUGGUGGUCGCCUUUCUCUGCAAAUGUUGACGUCGGCAUCCACGUCUGCUGCUACCUCUGGACUCAACCCCACCCAUACCCCACCUCAUCCCACCUCACCCCACCUUACCCCACCCCAUCCCAUCCCACCACACACAGACACCUGGGCCUGGGCCGACCCCUAGGAGGCACCAAAGCAGGUAACGGAGGGGCCUGGGGUACAGCCCCCAGAAAUCGGGCUGUGUAACGCACCGGGACGGCGGGUUCUCAGACAUCCGGCGGAGACCUGCCCCUUUCCCGACCUCCACCCCAGAGCAUCGGGUCUCAUCUAGAUCAAACGCCCUUCGGGAGGGAGUCCCUGACUCCGGGGGCCCCUGCGCUUCGUUCUCUGCAGCCCCGCAUCUCCUCUUGGCCAGCCUGAGGUCGGUCCUCGGAUCCCACCGCCUCCGAGAGGCCGGGGUCCCGCGCCGGAGCCCGCUGAGCCCCGGCAUUUCGGGGACAGGGUCCGGCGGGGCGGGGCCUGAGGCUGUGGCCCGCGGCCUGAGUUUUCCACCGCCCACGCCGCAGGCGGGAGGUGCACCGAGCCCAGGGUCGCCGCCGCCGCACACCGCAGGACCGCCUGGCACAGGAUGGGGGAGGAGGCAGGGGGCCCACGGCCAUUAGGGGGGUGCGCAGCCAGACGAGCCGGGCAAACUGACUCCGGACUCGGGGAACGGAGGGGAAGGUCCCGCGAUCAAACCACCCCAGCUGCCGAGCCCACGGAAGGCCGGAACCCAUUCACGCAAAGAUGAGCUUUUAGAAAGAAAACUGAAAUAGUACUAGCAGCCAGAGCGGCAGGGAAGGGGGGCGGGGGCUUGUCUGUAAAUCAGGCUUUCGCGCGGGGACUCAGAUUUUUGCAAUAAGCACUUAAUUAAAAAUAAAAUAGAUUGAAGCAGU
Molecule: long non-coding RNA, 1271 nt
Organism: Peromyscus californicus insignis
Lineage: Eukaryota; Metazoa; Chordata; Mammalia; Rodentia; Cricetidae
Exons: 3
Source: RefSeq, a predicted model, not a curated record